UCUUAUUAAUGACAAUAGUUUUCCCAGAGUGUUGAGUUCAUACAAGAUUUCUUGUGCUUGUAUGGUAAUUAAUCUCUGGUACAUAGAUUCCAUAAAAUACA
Molecule: microRNA precursor, 101 nt
Filed under: Nematostella vectensis (starlet sea anemone)
Lineage: Eukaryota; Metazoa; Cnidaria; Anthozoa; Actiniaria; Edwardsiidae
Description: microRNA nve-mir-2045 precursor
Source: miRBase by way of RNAcentral